GCAUGUGUUUGGGAUUUGUGGCAGGUCCGAUCCCAUGGGCCUCUCACAGUAUCCCAUGACAAAGCAAACUGUCACCCCGAACCAUUGCUUGGCUUUACCCAGUGGGCUUAAGGCACUGAAGCGGGUUGCACAGUG
Echinops telfairi (small Madagascar hedgehog) is the source of this 135-nucleotide small nucleolar RNA. The record is from Ensembl. NCBI's taxonomy places the organism in Eukaryota, Metazoa, Chordata, Mammalia, Afrosoricida, Tenrecidae.